GGCAGGAGCUCGAUAACGCGAUAUAUAGUUCGGUGAAGUCAGCUGACGCCAGGAUGCAAUCGGCCGUCGCUCGUGGAUUGUAAUGCGAUCGCUGCGUUAUCGCGUGAUACUGUAAGGAUCGUAUUCUCGGGGAAAAAAGCGCGCGUUCUUUCCUCUCGCGCGAUCCGUCAACCGAGUUGGGUACGCGAGGAACUUGUAUAAAUUUGGGUACUAAUUAGAGAGCAAAGGAAGUCAUCAUGCCGCUUAGUGCAGAUAUAUCUACGGCACUCCACCUGUUGGAGCAUGUGCAGGAACGGGUGGAGGAUUGCGACGAUCC
Long non-coding RNA from Cyphomyrmex costatus, 316 nucleotides. RefSeq lists it as uncharacterized. The transcript is spliced from 3 exons. The record is from RefSeq and is a predicted model, not a curated record. NCBI's taxonomy places the organism in Eukaryota, Metazoa, Arthropoda, Insecta, Hymenoptera, Formicidae.